CUGGGAGAGAGGAGAUGUCUCUGAUGCCUGAGUCAUUAAGGGAAUAGGAAAGACUAGCCAAAGACUAGCCCUGCUCUGCUGGAGACAGGAUAGCACAUUCCAAGAAGCAACGGGGGUGUAACAUGGCCUGGAUGGCACCCAGCGAGCAGAGGUGGAAUCCUGCAGCCUGUGUCUCGGUUGGAUCUCUCUCCUCUUCCCCCAGUUCUUGACAGAGCACUGGCCUGUCUCACUUUACAGCCCUCUCUUUCCCCCAGACUCCAGGAUACAGAAUUCACUUUCACCAGAAACUCUCACCACCUCCAGCCCCGGUAAUGUUCACCUCUGGUCCAGGUUUCAAUCGCCCCUCAUGGCCUCCCUUGCUAUCAGUAUUCAAUCCGUUGCCCAUGGCCUACCAAUCUUGAGUUUCUACUGCCAAAAACUUUUGGUCAGCAACCUUUUUUGUUUUUUUGUUUUUG
RNAcentral lists this long non-coding RNA (455 nucleotides) under Homo sapiens (human). RNAcentral describes it as "HSALNT0018250". Lineage: Eukaryota; Metazoa; Chordata; Mammalia; Primates; Hominidae. The record is from RNAcentral.